UACAGAGGUCUCGAGCGUUAGGCGGAAUCACUGGGCUUAAAGCGUGUGUAGGUGGAUGGGUAAGUACCUUGUGAAAUCCCACGGCUCAACCGUGGAACUGCUUGGUAUACUGCUUGUCUUGAGUCACUCAGGGGCGAGCGGAACAGAUGGUGGAGCGGUGAAAUGCGUAGAUAUCAUCUGGAACGCCAAUGGUGAAGACAGCUCGCUGGGGGUGUACUGACACUGAGACACGAAAGCCAGGGGAGCAAACGGG
Molecule: ribosomal RNA, 253 nt
Filed under: uncultured prokaryote
Description: partial 16S ribosomal RNA
Rfam family: Bacterial small subunit ribosomal RNA
Source: RNAcentral